AACGGGAGAGUAACACGUGAGUAACCUGCCCUUAACUCUGGGAUAAGCCUGGGAAACUGGGUCUAAUACCGGAUAUGACUCCUCAUCGCAUGGUGGGGGGUGGAAAGCUUUAUUGUGGUUUUGGAUGGACUCGCGGCCUAUCAGCUUGUUGGUGAGGUAAUGGCUCACCAAGGCGACGACGGGUAGCCGGCCUGAGAGGGUGACCGGCCACACUGGGACUGAGACACGGCCCAGACUCCUACGGGAGGCAGCAGUGGGGAAUAUUGCACAAUGGGCGAAAGCCUGAUGCAGCGACGCCGCGUGAGGGAUGACGGCCUUCGGGUUGUAAACCUCUUUCAGUAGGGAAGAAGCGAAAGUGACGGUACCUGCAGAAGAAGCGCCGGCUAACUACGUGCCAGCAGCCGCGGUAAUACGUAGGGCGCAAGCGUUAUCCGGAAUUAUUGGGCGUAAAGAGCUCGUAGGCGGUUUGUCGCGUCUGCCGUGAAAGUCCGGGGCUCAACUCCGGAUCUGCGGUGGGUACGGGCAGACUAGAGUGAUGUAGGGGAGACUGGAAUUCCUGGUGUAGCGGUGAAAUGCGCAGAUAUCAGGAGGAACACCGAUGGCGAAGGCAGGUCUCUGGGCAUUAACUGACGCUGAGGAGCGAAAGCAUGGGGAGCGAACAGGAUUAGAUACCCUGGUAGUCCAUGCCGUAAACGUUGGGCACUAGGUGUGGGGGACAUUCCACGUUUUCCGCGCCGUAGCUAACGCAUUAAGUGCCCCGCCUGGGGAGUACGGCCGCAAGGCUAAAACUCAAAGGAAUUGACGGGGGCCCGCACAAGCGGCGGAGCAUGCGGAUUAAUUCGAUGCAACGCGAAGAACCUUACCAAGGCUUGACAUGAACCGGAUAUACCUGGAAACAGGUGCCCCGCUUGCGGUCGGUUUACAGGUGGUGCAUGGUUGUCGUCAGCUCGUGUCGUGAGAUGUUGGGUUAAGUCCCGCAACGAGCGCAACCCUCGUUCUAUGUUGCCAGCGCGUUAUGGCGGGGACUCAUAGGAGACUGCCGGGGUCAACUCGGAGGAAGGUGGGGACGACGUCAAAUCAUCAUGCCCCUUAUGUCUUGGGCUUCACGCAUGCUACA
This 1117-nucleotide ribosomal RNA is filed under the name Arthrobacter sp. B20. RNAcentral describes it as "bacterial SSU rRNA". It matches the Rfam family "Bacterial small subunit ribosomal RNA", at positions 101 to 1229 of the family's 1533-position model. The record is from RNAcentral. Lineage: Bacteria; Bacillati; Actinomycetota; Actinomycetes; Micrococcales; Micrococcaceae.